This 465-nucleotide ribosomal RNA is filed under the name uncultured bacterium. RNAcentral's name for it is "bacterial SSU rRNA". It matches the Rfam family "Bacterial small subunit ribosomal RNA", at positions 198 to 644 of the family's 1533-position model. The record is from RNAcentral.
GGAGAAAAGCAGGGGAUCGCAAGACCUUGCGCUUUUGGAGCGGCCGAUGCCUGAUUAGCUUGUUGGUGAGGUAAAAGCUCACCAAGGCUUCGAUCAGUAGCUGGUCUGAGAGGACGACCAGCCACACUGGGACUGAGACACGGCCCAGACUCCUACGGGAGGCAGCAGUGGGGAAUUUUGGACAAUGGGGGCAACCCUGAUCCAGCCAUGCCGCGUGAGUGAAGAAGGCCUUCGGGUUGUAAAGCUCUUUCAGCCGGAACGAAACGGUUACGGUUAAUACCCGUGACUACUGACGGUACCGGAAGAAGAAGCACCGGCUAACUACGUGCCAGCAGCCGCGGUAAUACGUAGGGUGCGAGCGUUAAUCGGAAUUACUGGGCGUAAAGCGUGCGCAGGUGGUUUUGUAAGUCAGAUGUGAAAUCCCCGGGCUUAACCUGGGAACUGCGUUUGAAACUACAAAGCUAG